RNAcentral lists this ribosomal RNA (381 nucleotides) under uncultured bacterium. RNAcentral describes it as "bacterial SSU rRNA". It matches the Rfam family "Bacterial small subunit ribosomal RNA", at positions 28 to 402 of the family's 1533-position model. The record is from RNAcentral.
GACGAACGCUGGCGGCGUGCUUAACACAUGCAAGUGGAGCGACGAACCAGGGCUUGCCCUGGGGCAGAGCCGCGAACGGGUGAGUAACACGUGGGUAACGUGCCCCGAUGAUCGGGACAACCCGGGGAAACCCGGGCUAAUACCGAAUGUGCUCCCCUCACACCAGUGAGGGAUGGAAAGGAAGCUUCGGCCUCCGCAUCGGGAUCGGCCCGCGGCCCAUUAGCUUGUUGGUGAGGUAACGGCUCACCAAGGCUGCGACGGGUAGCUGGUCUGAGAGGACGAUCAGCCACACUGGGACUGAGACACGGCCCAGACUCCUACGGGAGGCAGCAGUGGGGAAUCUUGCGCAAUGCGCGAAAGCGUGACGCAGCAACGCCGCGU